Molecule: ribosomal RNA, 253 nt
Filed under: uncultured bacterium
Lineage: Bacteria
Description: partial 16S ribosomal RNA
Rfam family: Bacterial small subunit ribosomal RNA
Source: RNAcentral
UACAGAGGGUGCGAGCGUUAAUCGGAAUUACUGGGCGUAAAGCGCACGUAGGUGGCGACGUAAGUCGGGUGUGAAAGCCCCGGGCUCAACCUGGGAACGGCGCUUGAGACUGGCACGCUCGAGUUCGGGAGAGGAUGGUGGAAUUCCCAGUGUAGAGGUGAAAUUCGUAGAUAUUGGGAAGAACACCGAUGGCGAAGGCAGCCAUCUGGACCGACACUGACGCUGAGGCGCGAAAGCGUGGGGAGCAAACAGG